RNAcentral lists this ribosomal RNA (2630 nucleotides) under Escherichia coli. Its description in RNAcentral is "bacterial LSU rRNA". It matches the Rfam family "Bacterial large subunit ribosomal RNA", at positions 312 to 2925 of the family's 2925-position model. The record is from RNAcentral. Lineage: Bacteria; Pseudomonadati; Pseudomonadota; Gammaproteobacteria; Enterobacterales; Enterobacteriaceae.
CUGAAUCAGUGUGUGUGUUAGUGGAAGCGUCUGGAAAGGCGCGCGAUACAGGGUGACAGCCCCGUACACAAAAAUGCACAUAUUGUGAGCUCGAUGAGUAGGGCGGGACACGUGGUAUCCUGUCUGAAUAUGGGGGGACCAUCCUCCAAGGCUAAAUACUCCUGACUGACCGAUAGUGAACCAGUACCGUGAGGGAAAGGCGAAAAGAACCCCGGCGAGGGGAGUGAAAAAGAACCUGAAACCGUGUACGUACAAGCAGUGGGAGCACGCUUAGGCGUGUGACUGCGUACCUUUUGUAUAAUGGGUCAGCGACUUAUAUUCUGUAGCAAGGUUAACCGAAUAGGGGAGCCGAAGGGAAACCGAGUCUUAACUGGGCGUUAAGUUGCAGGGUAUAGACCCGAAACCCGGUGAUCUAGCCAUGGGCAGGUUGAAGGUUGGGUAACACUAACUGGAGGACCGAACCGACUAAUGUUGAAAAAUUAGCGGAUGACUUGUGGCUGGGGGUGAAAGGCCAAUCAAACCGGGAGAUAGCUGGUUCUCCCCGAAAGCUAUUUAGGUAGCGCCUCGUGAAUUCAUCUCCGGGGGUAGAGCACUGUUUCGGCAAGGGGGUCAUCCCGACUUACCAACCCGAUGCAAACUGCGAAUACCGGAGAAUGUUAUCACGGGAGACACACGGCGGGUGCUAACGUCCGUCGUGAAGAGGGAAACAACCCAGACCGCCAGCUAAGGUCCCAAAGUCAUGGUUAAGUGGGAAACGAUGUGGGAAGGCCCAGACAGCCAGGAUGUUGGCUUAGAAGCAGCCAUCAUUUAAAGAAAGCGUAAUAGCUCACUGGUCGAGUCGGCCUGCGCGGAAGAUGUAACGGGGCUAAACCAUGCACCGAAGCUGCGGCAGCGACGCUUAUGCGUUGUUGGGUAGGGGAGCGUUCUGUAAGCCUGUGAAGGUGUGCUGUGAGGCAUGCUGGAGGUAUCAGAAGUGCGAAUGCUGACAUAAGUAACGAUAAAGCGGGUGAAAAGCCCGCUCGCCGGAAGACCAAGGGUUCCUGUCCAACGUUAAUCGGGGCAGGGUGAGUCGACCCCUAAGGCGAGGCCGAAAGGCGUAGUCGAUGGGAAACAGGUUAAUAUUCCUGUACUUGGUGUUACUGCGAAGGGGGGACGGAGAAGGCUAUGUUGGCCGGGCGACGGUUGUCCCGGUUUAAGCGUGUAGGCUGGUUUUCCAGGCAAAUCCGGAAAAUCAAGGCUGAGGCGUGAUGACGAGGCACUACGGUGCUGAAGCAACAAAUGCCCUGCUUCCAGGAAAAGCCUCUAAGCAUCAGGUAACAUCAAAUCGUACCCCAAACCGACACAGGUGGUCAGGUAGAGAAUACCAAGGCGCUUGAGAGAACUCGGGUGAAGGAACUAGGCAAAAUGGUGCCGUAACUUCGGGAGAAGGCACGCUGAUAUGUAGGUGAAGUCCCUUGCGGAUGGAGCUGAAAUCAGUCGAAGAUACCAGCUGGCUGCAACUGUUUAUUAAAAACACAGCACUGUGCAAACACGAAAGUGGACGUAUACGGUGUGACGCCUGCCCGGUGCCGGAAGGUUAAUUGAUGGGGUCAGCGCAAGCGAAGCUCUUGAUCGAAGCCCCGGUAAACGGCGGCCGUAACUAUAACGGUCCUAAGGUAGCGAAAUUCCUUGUCGGGUAAGUUCCGACCUGCACGAAUGGCGUAAUGAUGGCCAGGCUGUCUCCACCCGAGACUCAGUGAAAUUGAACUCGCUGUGAAGAUGCAGUGUACCCGCGGCAAGACGGAAAGACCCCGUGAACCUUUACUAUAGCUUGACACUGAACAUUGAGCCUUGAUGUGUAGGAUAGGUGGGAGGCUUGGAAGUGUGGACGCCAGUCUGCAUGGAGCCGACCUUGAAAUACCACCCUUUAAUGUUUGAUGUUCUAACGUUGACCCGUAAUCCGGGUUGCGGACAGUGUCUGGUGGGUAGUUUGACUGGGGCGGUCUCCUCCUAAAGAGUAACGGAGGAGCACGAAGGUUGGCUAAUCCUGGUCGGACAUCAGGAGGUUAGUGCAAUGGCAUAAGCCAGCUUGACUGCGAGCGUGACGGCGCGAGCAGGUGCGAAAGCAGGUCAUAGUGAUCCGGUGGUUCUGAAUGGAAGGGCCAUCGCUCAACGGAUAAAAGGUACUCCGGGGAUAACAGGCUGAUACCGCCCAAGAGUUCAUAUCGACGGCGGUGUUUGGCACCUCGAUGUCGGCUCAUCACAUCCUGGGGCUGAAGUAGGUCCCAAGGGUAUGGCUGUUCGCCAUUUAAAGUGGUACGCGAGCUGGGUUUAGAACGUCGUGAGACAGUUCGGUCCCUAUCUGCCGUGGGCGCUGGAGAACUGAGGGGGGCUGCUCCUAGUACGAGAGGACCGGAGUGGACGCAUCACUGGUGUUCGGGUUGUCAUGCCAAUGGCACUGCCCGGUAGCUAAAUGCGGAAGAGAUAAGUGCUGAAAGCAUCUAAGCACGAAACUUGCCCCGAGAUGAGUUCUCCCUGACUCCUUGAGAGUCCUGAAGGAACGUUGAAGACGACGACGUUGAUAGGCCGGGUGUGUAAGCGCAGCGAUGCGUUGAGCUAACCGGUACUAAUGAACCGUGAGGCUUAACCUU